RNAcentral lists this ribosomal RNA (429 nucleotides) under Triticum aestivum (bread wheat). Its description in RNAcentral is "partial small subunit ribosomal RNA". Lineage: Eukaryota; Viridiplantae; Streptophyta; Magnoliopsida; Poales; Poaceae. The record is from RNAcentral.
CUCAAGCUCCAGCCCUAUGCUCAAUCAUCGGUGGCCAACAGACCAUGCGCCAAGCUGGCAUACAAGUACUUUGGGCCGUUCAAGGUGCUCGCCAAGAUCGGCAAGCUGGCGUACAAGUUGUAGCUCCCGGCGGACAGGAAGAUCCACCCUGUCUUCCACGUGUCGCAGCUCAAGCCGUUCACCCCCAACUACUCUCCAGUCUUCUCCGAGCUGCCACGACCUCCGAACCUCACCAGAAAUGAUGAUGAUCCCAUGGAGAUCGUGGAGCGCCGCAUGGUCAAGCGGGGCAACAGCGCUCUGGUGCAGAUCAAGGUUCGCUGGAAGAACAACGACACAGCCACAACUUGGGAGGAAUACGACACUCUUUGCCGCCGUUUUCCGCAAGCCCCAACAUGGGACGGCGACAUGGAGCAGCAAGCAGUCCCUUAA